Molecule: ribosomal RNA, 740 nt
Filed under: Brevundimonas vesicularis
Lineage: Bacteria; Pseudomonadati; Pseudomonadota; Alphaproteobacteria; Caulobacterales; Caulobacteraceae
Description: bacterial SSU rRNA
Rfam family: Bacterial small subunit ribosomal RNA
Source: RNAcentral
AAACUUGUGCUAAUACCGAAUGUGCCCUUCGGGGGAAAGAUUUAUCGCCUUUAGAGCGGCCCGCGUCUGAUUAGCUAGUUGGUGAGGUAAAGGCUCACCAAGGCGACGAUCAGUAGCUGGUCUGAGAGGAUGAUCAGCCACAUUGGGACUGAGACACGGCCCAAACUCCUACGGGAGGCAGCAGUGGGGAAUCUUGCGCAAUGGGCGAAAGCCUGACGCAGCCAUGCCGCGUGAAUGAUGAAGGUCUUAGGAUUGUAAAAUUCUUUCACCGGGGACGAUAAUGACGGUACCCGGAGAAGAAGCCCCGGCUAACUUCGUGCCAGCAGCCGCGGUAAUACGAAGGGGGCUAGCGUUGCUCGGAAUUACUGGGCGUAAAGGGAGCGUAGGCGGACAUUUAAGUCAGGGGUGAAAUCCCGGGGCUCAACCUCGGAAUUGCCUUUGAUACUGGGUGUCUUGAGUAUGAGAGAGGUGUGUGGAACUCCGAGUGUAGAGGUGAAAUUCGUAGAUAUUCGGAAGAACACCAGUGGCGAAGGCGACACACUGGCUCAUUACUGACGCUGAGGCUCGAAAGCGUGGGGAGCAAACAGGAUUAGAUACCCUGGUAGUCCACGCCGUAAACGAUGAUUGCUAGUUGUCGGGAUGCAUGCAUUUCGGUGACGCAGCUAACGCAUUAAGCAAUCCGCCUGGGGAGUACGGUCGCAAGAUUAAAACUCAAAGGAAUUGACGGGGGCCCGCACAAG